RNAcentral lists this microRNA (21 nucleotides) under Pristionchus pacificus. Its description in RNAcentral is "ppc-miR-84b". Its record names the gene ppc-miR-84b. The record is from miRBase by way of RNAcentral. Lineage: Eukaryota; Metazoa; Nematoda; Chromadorea; Rhabditida; Neodiplogasteridae.
UGAGGUAGUUAAGAAUAUGUG